This 349-nucleotide long non-coding RNA is filed under the name Nicotiana benthamiana. RNAcentral's name for it is "long non-coding RNA (NBEN_LNC024566)". The record is from RNAcentral. Lineage: Eukaryota; Viridiplantae; Streptophyta; Magnoliopsida; Solanales; Solanaceae.
AAACGGUGCAUAAGUACUUUCAUGAAAUUCUUGACGUAAUGAUGAAAUUUGCAAACGAGAUGAUAGCACCUACAACAUCUGAUACGAAUCUGAAUAUCUAUUGUGCUAGUAACAGGUUACGAAUAAUUUUUAAGGUAUUAUUCAUUAUACUACUAUCUUUAUAGAAUUUUACAAGAAAUUUUGUUUUUCUUUCUUUUUAACUUAAAUUUAUAUAUUGGUAGGGAGCAAUAGGUGCACUAGGUGGGACAUUAAUACAUGUUGUUGUUCCUGCUAAUCAACAGAUUAUGUAAAGAGGAAGAGGAAACGAAAAUGUUAUCAGAAUGUUAUUCCGAUAUGUGCUUUGAUGUGG